Molecule: ribosomal RNA, 157 nt
Filed under: uncultured rumen bacterium
Lineage: Bacteria
Description: partial 16S ribosomal RNA
Rfam family: Bacterial small subunit ribosomal RNA
Source: RNAcentral
AGCAGUAGGGAAUCUUUCACAAUGGGCGAAAGCCUGAUGGAGCAAUGCCGCGUGCAGGACGAAGGCCUUCGGGUUGUAAACUGCUUUUAUAAGCGAGGAANAUGACGGUAACUUAUGAAUAAGGAUCGGCUAACUACGUGCCAGCAGCCGCGGUAAU